GGGGGGGGGGGGGGGGGGGGCGGGGGGGGGGGGGGCGGGGGGCGGGGCGGUGGGGGCGGGGGCUGGGGGGGGGCGAGUGGCGGGCGGGGGCGGAAGGCAUGGGAAUCUACGUGUGCGGGGGGGCUAACGUGGGGAGCCUUCCGCUAAUACCGCGUACGACCUACGGGGGAAAGCCGGGGGUCUUCGGACAUGGGGCGAUUGAAUGACCCGAUGUCGGAUUAGCUAGUUGGCGGGGUAAAGGCCCACCAAGGCGACGAUCCGUAGCUGGUCUGAGAGGAUGAUCAGCCACACUGGAACUGAGACACGGUCCAGACUCCUACGGGAGGCAGCAGUGGGGAAUAUUGGACAAUGGGCGCAAGCCUGAUCCAGCCAUACCGCGUGGGUGAAGAAGGCCUUCGGGUUGUAAAGCCCUUUUGUUGGGAAAGAAAAGCAGCAGGUUAAUACCCCGCUGUUCUGACGGUACCCAAAGAAUAAGCACCGGCUAACUUCGUG
Molecule: ribosomal RNA, 492 nt
Filed under: uncultured bacterium
Lineage: Bacteria
Description: partial 16S ribosomal RNA
Rfam family: Bacterial small subunit ribosomal RNA
Source: RNAcentral